Long non-coding RNA from Haemorhous mexicanus (house finch), 571 nucleotides. RefSeq lists it as uncharacterized. The record is from RefSeq and is a predicted model, not a curated record. NCBI's taxonomy places the organism in Eukaryota, Metazoa, Chordata, Aves, Passeriformes, Fringillidae. The transcript is spliced from 6 exons.
AGCAUCUAUGUAUAGACCCCAGUGCACAAGGUAUGCAGAGCUCAGUUUCAGUGAGAUCUAGGAAGACUCUGGACCCCACAGGAUUAGGAGUGAUGGGUAGCAUGGCUGUAAUAAGGAUCCACCUGCUAGGUGGCUGUGUCUGUCAAUCCUAUCAAUAUCCAGGAUAAAACAUGGGAAAAAUAGGGAAGAAGUGGCAAUUUCACUGUUUAAUACCAGAACUGCUAUUCUAAAAGAAAGAAGAGUCAUCAUGGAAAUGCAGAUAGAUAGUUAAUGAUUAUGAAAUUUCCUUGAACAAUUUCACUGGAGCAGGUGGAACUCUACCAGAUACAUGAAAUAUAAGACAGAGGCACAAACCAGCAAGUCUGAGGGGAGAUUCUUCAGAAAAAGCAAGCAGCAAGCUAACAGUAGUCCUAAGGUUCCCAAGACCAUCAGUGUGGGGACUCAGUUCAGACCAGACGUCUGAUGCAGCUUGAAGCCUGAUAGCAGAAGACUGACAAAAAAGCCAUGGGACAAUGAGGCAAGAGCGGCAGCGUCUUCGAGCUCAAGUGUGGAUCGGCGAGGCAAGAGGGAG